CACGAGUACUUGUACUUGGUGGCGAGUGGCGAACGGGUGAGUAAUAUAUUGGAACGUACCGAGUAAUGGGGGAUAACUAUCCGAAAGGAUAGCUAAUACCGCAUACGCUUUGAGAAGGAAAGCAGGGGAUCUUCGGACCUUGCGUUAUUCGAGCGGCCAAUAACUGAUUAGCUAGUUGGUGGGGUAAGGGCCUACCAAGGCGACGAUCAGUAGUGGGUCUGAGAGGAUGAUCCGCCACACUGGGACUGAGACACGGCCCAGACUCCUACGGGAGGCAGCAGUGGGGAAUUUUGGACAAUGGGCGAAAGCCUGAUCCAGCCAUGCCGCGUGUCUGAAGAAGGCCUUCGGGUUGUAAAGGACUUUUGUUAGGGAAGAAAAGGUUGAUGCUAAUAUCAUUAACUGAUGACGGUACCUAAAGAAUAAGCACCGGCUAACUACGUGCCAGCAGCCGCGGUAAUACGUAGGGUGCGAGCGUUAAUCGGAAUUACUGGGCGUAAAGCGAGCGCA
RNAcentral lists this ribosomal RNA (507 nucleotides) under Kingella kingae. RNAcentral's name for it is "bacterial SSU rRNA". It matches the Rfam family "Bacterial small subunit ribosomal RNA", at positions 71 to 573 of the family's 1533-position model. The record is from RNAcentral. Lineage: Bacteria; Pseudomonadati; Pseudomonadota; Betaproteobacteria; Neisseriales; Neisseriaceae.